GGCAGCAGCCGCGGGAACACCGGCGGCCCGAGUGGUGAUCGUGAUUAUGGGUCUAAAGGGUCCGUAGCCGGUUUGGUCAGUCCUCCGGGAAAUCUGAUAGCUCAACUAUUAGGCUUUCGGGGGAUACUGCCAGACUUGGAACCGGGAGAGGUAAGAGGUACUACAGGGGUAGGAGUGAAAUCUUGUAAUCCCUGUGGGACCACCUGUGGCGAAGGCGUCUUACCAGAACGGGUUCGACGGUGAGGGACGAAAGCUGGGGGCACGAACCGGAUUAGAUACCCGGGUAGUCCCAGCCGUAAACGAUGCUCGCUAGGUGUCAGGCAUGGCGCGACCGUGUCUGGUGCCGCAGGGAAGCCGUGAAGCGAGCCACCUGGGAAGUACGGCCGCAAGGCUGAAACUUAAAGGAAUUGGCGGGGGAGCACAACAACGGGUGGAAGCCUGCGGUUUAAUUGGACUCAACGCCGGACAACUCACCGGGGGCGACAGCAAUAUGUAGGCCAAGCUGAAGACUUUGCCUGAAUCGCUGAGGGGUGGUGCAUGG
This 541-nucleotide ribosomal RNA is filed under the name uncultured archaeon. RNAcentral describes it as "bacterial SSU rRNA". It matches the Rfam family "Archaeal small subunit ribosomal RNA", at positions 457 to 997 of the family's 1478-position model. The record is from RNAcentral.